This 489-nucleotide ribosomal RNA is filed under the name uncultured bacterium. Its description in RNAcentral is "partial 16S ribosomal RNA". It matches the Rfam family "Bacterial small subunit ribosomal RNA", at positions 30 to 507 of the family's 1533-position model. The record is from RNAcentral.
AUUGAACGCUGGCGGCAGGCUUAACACAUGCAAGUCGAACGGUAGCAGGAGAAAGCUUGCUUUCUUGCUGACGAGUGGCGGACGGGUGAGUAAUGCUUGGGAAUCUGGCUUAUGGAGGGGGAUAACUACGGGAAACUGUAGCUAAUACCGCGUAAUAUCUUCGGAUUAAAGAAUGGGACUUUUAGCCAUUCGCCAUAAGAUGAGCCCAAGUGGGAUUAGGUAGUUGGUGGGGUAAAGGCCUACCAAGCCGACGAUCUCUAGCUGGUCUGAGAGGAUGACCGGCCACACUGGAACUGAGACGCGGACCUGACUCCUAAGGGAGGCAGCAGUGGGGAAUAUUGCGCAAUGGGGGCAACCCUGACGCAGCCAUGCCGAGUGAAUGAAGAAGGCCUUCGGGUUGUAAAGUUCUUUCGGUGGUGAGGAAGGCUAAUAUGUUAAUAGCAUAUUAGAUUGACGUUAGCCACAGAAGAAGCACCGGCUAACUCCGUG